GAAAUUCGAUUAACGCUCGGUUACGACCGAGCCAACUGGAAG
RNAcentral lists this non-coding RNA (42 nucleotides) under Citrobacter freundii. RNAcentral describes it as "nuoG". It matches the Rfam family "nuoG RNA". The record is from RNAcentral. Lineage: Bacteria; Pseudomonadati; Pseudomonadota; Gammaproteobacteria; Enterobacterales; Enterobacteriaceae. RNAcentral also lists the same sequence under 1 other name.